Carassius gibelio (silver crucian carp) is the source of this 633-nucleotide long non-coding RNA. RefSeq lists it as uncharacterized. The record is from RefSeq and is a predicted model, not a curated record. Lineage: Eukaryota; Metazoa; Chordata; Actinopteri; Cypriniformes; Cyprinidae. The transcript is spliced from 4 exons.
GUACCUUCUGUUUUUAGCACGGUAAGCAUAAUCCAUUUUUAAUACCUAUGAUGAUUUCAAAUGUGUUCCAUUGGUUUGAAUCCACUUUUUUUCCCAUAAGUAUGACCUGUUAAAAGAAGAUGACCCUCCAACAUGCUUCAUCUUCAAGUUAUCAGGAGCAUUGUUAAGGAACAUAUUGCUUGAAGUUAUUCUUGAAGAAGGAGAUGCUGCCUACAUGAAAUUGGCAUUGGUUUGCACCAGAUUCAGAAACCUAGUUGGGGAAAAAAGCUUCAAACAGCAGGCACACUUUUUGUGGCUACAAAGUGUUGCUUGUUGGAAAGAUAAAACUGCAGAGUACAAACAAGACUUCUGGAGAAUGUACUCCAUCUCCACUUGUUUGGAGUGCUAUGAUGAUUACAAAAGCUGCACACCUGGUUAUGCUGGGAAGGGCAGAAGAGGUGAGUUACGUGGGAUCUACUCAGAAGCCUUCCAUCCAGGAUUUUGCAGUCUCUCGUGUAUGCAAGCCAAAUGUGCUAAUGAGUAGUUUAAAUAUACAUAGAGAAUGCAUUGCACCAUCCAUCAGAAUUGAGAAAGGAGUUGGACCAUGGUACCAUCAAUCUUUUCCUCUUCAGUCUUGGAAUUAUUUUUUUGUGU